GGGGGGGGUUGAAUUAGAGGGUGUAUUAAGGAUUGUGCCCUCUGGGGCUUGUUGGUUGAGCAUCUGUGCCCAAAAAGGGAGGUUUCAUAGGACACCACAAAAAAUGGGAUACUAAUGAGUGACUUUACAGCUGAAGCUAGAAUUUGGUUAUCCAUUAUUUACAGUCGGGCCUCUCCCACUACCAACUUGAAGAAUGUUCUAUCGACGUGUGCUCAGAUGGUGGCCUGUAUAUUAGACAAAAUUCCUUUGAAUGUUGCCCGCUUUGUGCUUAUGAAGAUUCGGCA
Molecule: long non-coding RNA, 284 nt
Filed under: Capsicum annuum
Lineage: Eukaryota; Viridiplantae; Streptophyta; Magnoliopsida; Solanales; Solanaceae
Description: long non-coding RNA (CANN_LNC008989)
Source: RNAcentral